RNAcentral lists this long non-coding RNA (439 nucleotides) under Anas platyrhynchos platyrhynchos (common mallard). Its description in RNAcentral is "lncRNA (ENSAPLG00000017868.1)". Lineage: Eukaryota; Metazoa; Chordata; Aves; Anseriformes; Anatidae. The record is from RNAcentral.
AUGCUCAAGGGUUCAUUAACCUCAGUGGGAUAACAGACCCAUUAACAGGCUCAUCUAUGGAUUAAUCAUUCAAGGCUUAUGGAGACCUACGUUCAUCCACUGUAGUCUGAAAAUAUGUCUUAGACUACUCUUCUGCUGUUUCUCAGACCUAGAACUGGUUUCUGAGAACAUAGUGGUGAAGAGUCAAUCUGAACAACCAGUGCAGGCUGUUCUUUCAUCUGAGCUGCCAGGCUGAAGCAACAGCUGAGAAGAGAAGUCUCCUAGGAGGAAAAACACUACCAAAUAGCUUGGCUAAUUCUGCCACUUCAAAAGCUUUAAAAACUUCCUUACCUGAGGGAGCACUGGAUUUUAUAAGUAAUCUAGUUUUAGGAAGUGUGGCUCUGUGAGAAAGGGCCUCAUUAUGCCAUGUGCUGAGUAGGAGGCAAAGCUCCUGUCUAGC